CCCCUCUCAAGAUUGCAUCUGGAGAGUCUCCACUACUCUACCAGUCUCAGCUGUGGGAGGGAGAGUCACGCAGAGGCCUAGCCAUUACAUUGCUAGCUUGGGCAGUGGCUAGCCAGUGGAAGGAAAUCCGCUACAAGA
Tachyglossus aculeatus (Australian echidna) is the source of this 138-nucleotide small nucleolar RNA. Lineage: Eukaryota; Metazoa; Chordata; Mammalia; Monotremata; Tachyglossidae. The record is from RefSeq and is a predicted model, not a curated record.